RNAcentral lists this ribosomal RNA (492 nucleotides) under uncultured bacterium. RNAcentral describes it as "partial 16S ribosomal RNA". It matches the Rfam family "Bacterial small subunit ribosomal RNA", at positions 29 to 507 of the family's 1533-position model. The record is from RNAcentral.
AGUGAACGCUGGCGGUAGGCCUAACACAUGCAAGUCGAACGGCAGCACAGUAAGAGCUUGCUCUUACGGGUGGCGAGUGGCGGACGGGUGAGGAAUACAUCGGAAUCUACUUUUUCGUGGGGGAUAACGUAGGGAAACUUACGCUAAUACCGCAUACGACCUACGGGUGAAAGCAGGGGAUCUUCGGAACUUGCGCGAUUGAAUGAGCCGAUGUCGGAUUAGCUAGUUGGCGGGGUAACGGCCCACCAAGGCGACGAUCCGUAGCUGGUCUGAGAGGAUGAUCAGCCACACUGGAACUGAGACACGGUCCAGACUCCUACGGGAGGCAGCAGUGGGGAAUAUUGGACAAUGGGCGCAAGCCUGAUCCAGCCAUACCGCGUGGGUGAAGAAGGCCUUCGGGUUGUAAAGCCCUUUUGUUGGGAAAGAAAAGCAGCAGGUUAAUACCCCGCUGUUCUGACGGUACCCAAAGAAUAAGCACCGGCUAACUUCGUG